Molecule: transfer RNA, 72 nt
Filed under: Coemansia sp. RSA 2603
Lineage: Eukaryota; Fungi; Kickxellomycota; Kickxellomycetes; Kickxellales; Kickxellaceae
Description: tRNA-Met
Rfam family: tRNA
About the family: Transfer RNA (tRNA) molecules are approximately 80 nucleotides in length.
Source: RNAcentral
AGCACCCUGGCGCAGAGGAAUCGAGCAUGGCUCAUAACCCUGAGGUCCCAGGAUCGAAACCUGGGGGUGCUA